This 616-nucleotide ribosomal RNA is filed under the name uncultured bacterium. Its description in RNAcentral is "bacterial SSU rRNA". It matches the Rfam family "Bacterial small subunit ribosomal RNA", at positions 67 to 719 of the family's 1533-position model. The record is from RNAcentral.
CGAGAAGCUUCUUUCGGGAAGUGGAGAGUGGCGCACGGGUGAGUAACGCGUGGGGAUCUACCCUUUGGUACGGGAUAACGUUUGGAAACGAACGCUAAUACCGUAUGUGGUCUACGGACUAAAGAUUUAUCGCCAAAGGAUGAACCCGCGUAAGAUUAGAUAGUUGGUGGGGUAAUGGCCUACCAAGUCUACGAUCUUUAGCUGGUCUGAGAGGACGAUCAGCCACACUGGAACUGAGACACGGUCCAGACUCCUACGGGAGGCAGCAGUGGGGAAUAUUGGACAAUGGGCGCAAGCCUGAUCCAGCCAUGCCGCGUGAGUGAAGAAGGCCUUAGGGUUGUAAAGCUCUUUCGCUAGGGAAGAUAAUGACGGUACCUAGUAAAGAAGUCCCGGCUAACUCCGUGCCAGCAGCCGCGGUAAUACGGAGGGGACUAGCGUUGUUCGGAAUUACUGGGCGUAAAGAGUACGUAGGCGGCUUAUCAAGUUGGGUGUGAAAGCCCGGGGCUCAACCCCGGAACUGCAUUCAAAACUGGUAAGCUAGAGAUCGGAAGAGGUAAGUGGAAUUCCCAGUGUAGAGGUGAAAUUCGUAGAUAUUGGGAAGAACACCAGUGGCGAA